This 73-nucleotide ribozyme is filed under the name Crocodylus porosus (Australian saltwater crocodile). RNAcentral describes it as "Mammalian CPEB3 ribozyme (ENSCPRG00005008902.1)". It matches the Rfam family "Mammalian CPEB3 ribozyme". Rfam says of the family: The mammalian CPEB3 ribozyme is a self cleaving RNA located in the second intron of the CPEB3 gene which belongs to a family of genes regulating messenger RNA polyadenylation. Lineage: Eukaryota; Metazoa; Chordata; Crocodylia; Crocodylidae. The record is from Rfam by way of RNAcentral.
ACAGGUUGGAGGCCAUAGCAGAAGCACUCAUGGCACGGCUGUGUGAGAUUCCAAUGAAUCUGUGAAUUCUGUU